CAGCAGCCUUUCCAAGUGAAUAAGGAAGGCCACUUCCUGGCAGAUGCAAGAACUUCAAGAUAUUUUGGACCCCCGAGAAGGGAGGAAUCCACUUAAACCUGUAGUUAUUGCAGGUGGAAUCUGAUGGCCAAGUGCUUGGCAUGGAUUUCCUGGCCUUGAGAUGCCUUUAAAAAGUUCCAGCAAAGACAAGUUUAAGAGAGGCUAUAUGAUCAAUUACACUUAGAAGGCCUUCUGUACUGGACUCGUCUAUACAAAGGAUUGCUGACUUAAACAACACCCACACCAGGACAAGAAGAAUACAACAUCGGUGGUAGACUGCUGACCGAAGAAUCCGAACCAGGCUUAGUCAAGAGAUCCACGUUAGCAGGAUACCAAGAUACCACGUGGCAAAAUCUUUUGGGAAUCUUAAUUCCUAGUGCAGGACUAUAUGUAAUCAGAAAUCUAUCAGCCACCAUUGAUCAAAUAGCCAGAGACUGCAAAAAGCACUGCUGCA
Molecule: long non-coding RNA, 493 nt
Organism: Physeter macrocephalus (sperm whale)
Lineage: Eukaryota; Metazoa; Chordata; Mammalia; Artiodactyla; Physeteridae
Exons: 3
Source: RefSeq, a predicted model, not a curated record